Molecule: ribosomal RNA, 208 nt
Filed under: uncultured bacterium
Lineage: Bacteria
Description: partial 16S ribosomal RNA
Rfam family: Bacterial small subunit ribosomal RNA
Source: RNAcentral
CGCGUAGGCUGGUAUUUAAGUCGAUUGUGAAAUCCCCUGGGCUUAACCUAGGAAUUGCAGUCGAUACUGAAUACCUUGAGUAUGGUAGAGGAAAGUGGAAUUCUCGGUGUAGUGGUUAAAUACGUAGAUAUCGAGAAGAACACCGGUGGCGAAGGCGACUUUCUGGACCAAUACUGACGCUGAGGCGCGAAAGCGUGGGGAGCAAACA